AUAGCGGGGGAUAACUAUUGGAAACGAUAGCUAAUACCGCAUAACAGUAUUUAUCACAUGGUAAAUGCUUGAAAGGAGCAAUUGCUUCACUAUGAGAUGGACCUGCGUUGUAUUAGCUAGUUGGUGGGGUAACGGCUCACCAAGGCAUCGAUACAUAGCCGACCUGAGAGGGUGAUCGGCCACACUGGGACUGAGACACGGCCCAGACUCCUACGGGAGGCAGCAGUAGGGAAUUUUCGGCAAUGGGAGGAACCCUGACCGAGCAACGCCGCGUGAGUGAAGAAGGUUUUCGGAUCGUAAAGCUCUGUUGUAAGAGAAGAACGUGUGUGAGAGUGGAAAGUUCACACAGUGACGGUAACUUACCAGAAAGGGACGGCUAACUACGUGCCAGCAGCCGCGGUAAUACGUAGGUCCCGAGCGUUGUCCGGAUUUAUUGGGCGUAAAGCGAGCGCAGGCGGUUUGAUAAGUCUGAAGUAAAAGGCUGUGGCUUAACCAUAGUA
RNAcentral lists this ribosomal RNA (500 nucleotides) under uncultured bacterium. Its description in RNAcentral is "bacterial SSU rRNA". It matches the Rfam family "Bacterial small subunit ribosomal RNA", at positions 133 to 620 of the family's 1533-position model. The record is from RNAcentral.